This is a non-coding RNA of Lolium perenne, 887 nucleotides long. NCBI's taxonomy places the organism in Eukaryota, Viridiplantae, Streptophyta, Magnoliopsida, Poales, Poaceae. The record is from RefSeq and is a predicted model, not a curated record.
UUGGCUUCAAGAGUAUAUUCAAAUGGCCUCUUUUUUUCGCCGAGGUUUAAUGGCAAUGCAGACUAGAUUACCAAGUUACUAGAUCGUUGGUGAUCGAUCGUUGAAUCACAGUUCCUCAGCAGAAUAUUGUAUCAGUUAAUCAAAGCAUAUAGAAUUUUCAGGAGUUAAGGUGGUGAUACCUGCUGGGAAUGUUUUGGUGGAAGACUCUGAGUAGAAACGGGCUCUAAUCUUUUGAUCACAGGUUCUCUCUUACCAAAUGAUUGCCACUUAACUAGUGCAGUGCUUACUGUAAUAAAAUAGAACAUCAGCAAGGUAGCACUUGAUGACGAGACUAUGUAUCUUGAUGUGCUGUUUUCUUUUGCAUCACAGUUAUGUUUGACAGUGCCAUCACUUGCUGUCAACUUGUUUAUUUUUUUUCAAUCCUGAAAAUCGUAUGCACAUGUAUUGUCACUAUGUGUCUUCUUGGUAGUUCCAGUAUAUCUUGGUGUUUAUAACUUGAAAACUAUGGUGCAGUUGUAAUUGCAUAUACAUAGCUGACUGCCAUUUCGAGGAAACAAAUGUGCUACCAUGUUGGUAGAUAGAUGCAUGUCCGUUGUCAUGUGUGUCUAGUCGAAGUCUUCCUCUUAAAUCUAUUUAUUUCUUUGCUAAAUAUGCUUUAUUAAAGCUCACACUGAUGUUUGGUUCCUGCUGGAGGAUAAAUAACAAAGCAUCAGCUGGAGUGUUGAGGCUGAUGCAUCACUCGACAAGGAAGAAAAAGGGGCAAGGAGACGUCACCAUCAGGCAGCACCUAGCCUCCUUGAAUAUUGUGUUCGUGAUGUAUAUAGUUGCAAAGGAUGUGUUUUGCUGUAAUAGAUGUAUAUAGUUGCAAAGGAUGUGUUUUGCUGUAA